RNAcentral lists this ribosomal RNA (431 nucleotides) under uncultured bacterium. Its description in RNAcentral is "partial 16S ribosomal RNA". It matches the Rfam family "Bacterial small subunit ribosomal RNA", at positions 29 to 507 of the family's 1533-position model. The record is from RNAcentral.
AACGAACGCUGGCGGCAGGCUUAACACAUGCAAGUCGAGCGCCUCGCAAGAGGAGCGGCAGACGGGUGAGUAACGCGUGGGAACGUACCCUUAUCUUCGGAAUAGCUCUGGGAAACUGGAAGUAAUACCGAAUGUGCCCUUAGGGGGAAAGAUUUAUCGGAUAAGGAUCGGCCCGCGUUGGAUUAGCUAGUUGGUGGGGUAAAGGCCUACCAAGGCGACGGUCCAUAGCUGGUCUGAGAGGAUGAUCAGCCACAUUGGGACUGAGACACGGCCCAAACUCCUACGGGAGGCAGCAGUGGGGAAUAUUGGACAAUGGGCGCAAGCCUGAUCCAGCCAUGCCGCGUGAGUGAUGAAGGCCUUAGGGUUGUAAAGCUCUUUCACCGGAGAAGAUAAUGACGGUAUCCGGAGAAGAAGCCCCGGCUAACUUCGUG